CUUGCCAUAGCUUUUAAAGGAGCCAGUGUCAGUGUGUGACAGAGAGCAGCAGUCACUGGGACUCAGUGUGUACUUUACCUCAGUGCUCCUCCCUCUGUCCUGCAGCCAUGAAGCUCCUACCAGCCCUGCUCACCCUCACAGCACUGGCUCUCUCAGGUGUGAAGGCUCAGAUUGUACUGACUGAGUCUGAAUCAGUGGUGAAGAGACCAGGAGAAUCACACAAACUAACAUGUACAGCCUCUGGCUUCACAUUCAGUAGCUAUCGUAUGCACUGGGUCAGACAGGCUCCUGGGAAGGGACUGGAGUGGAUCGCUUCUGCACAUGGCAGUAGCCCUUACUACUCCCAGAUUUUUCAGGGCAGAUUCACCAUCUCCAGAGACGACGGCAAGAACCAGGUGUAUUUACAGAUGAACAGCCUGAAAGCUGAAGACACGGCUGUGUACUACUGUGCCAGAGAGUCACAGUGAUGGGGGCUGUGGGGAAGCCGUACAAAUACUACUUCCU
Paramormyrops kingsleyae is the source of this 504-nucleotide non-coding RNA. Lineage: Eukaryota; Metazoa; Chordata; Actinopteri; Osteoglossiformes; Mormyridae. The record is from the annotation of a RefSeq genome assembly.